AACUAGUAUGCGUGAGGGAUUACAACGGAAAUCCUUUUUUGUUUUUUCUUUAAAAACAAAAAAGAUUAGAGUGAAAAGCCCGACCAUAA
Molecule: small RNA, 89 nt
Filed under: Flavobacterium sp. 81
Lineage: Bacteria; Pseudomonadati; Bacteroidota; Flavobacteriia; Flavobacteriales; Flavobacteriaceae
Also listed under: 1 other name
Description: Flavo-1 RNA
Rfam family: Flavo-1 RNA
Source: RNAcentral